This 232-nucleotide unclassified non-coding RNA is filed under the name Hevea brasiliensis (rubber tree). The record is from RNAcentral. Lineage: Eukaryota; Viridiplantae; Streptophyta; Magnoliopsida; Malpighiales; Euphorbiaceae.
AAUGAAAUAAAAAUAAAAUAGUUUCAUAUUCAAACUAGUCACUGAAAAACUCCACAAUUUUAUUGUCUUAAAACACGCUUCAGCAUUCAGAAAAUGAUGGUAGGUUAGGUUGCUUUACUUCCUUGGGAACAUGCCUCAAUAGCCAAACUAGCUUAUACCAGCUGGUUCUAUAAUGGGAGUUCCAUGAGGCUGUCAAGUUCCUACCUUUAGAUUGGUACUGCAUGAUUUUAAG